UGGAGCAGCCCAAUAAAUCCUCCUUUAUUAAUGAGACCAGUGUCCCUGGUGGAACAAUGAAAUUAACCAAGUAACACGUGUAGACUUACUCAGUCAUCCAUUUAACUCACAUUUAUUGAGAGUCCGCCUCUGCUGAGAUGCUGGUGAUAAGGAUAGGAAGGCUGACGUCAAGUCACUACUUAUCAGCGAGGCCGCAUGAGCACUUAGAGGCUGAUGUCUCCUGAUGGGUGGUGUUCACAUCAUAGCUGUUGUUAAAUAAUUUGACCACCACCACUCGAUGCAGGAAUAAACAAGUUCCUGCCUUUGUGGACCUUACAUCUUCAUGAGAGGAGCAAGUCAACUUAACAGAAGUCAGUUCAUGAACAAUCAGGCAAUGAUUGAAUGAACAUGAACAGAGUCUAAGGGGCAAGGCUGGAUUCAGGAGGCCCCCUGGGAUGUUUUCACUGUCAUCUGGAGACUGACGACACGGACCAUGGAGACAGCUGUGGCACGGAGGGCAGAGGACUGCUGAGGAGGCAGAUGAUGUCCUGAGCUGGAGGGGAACACCGUGGAAGAUUAACAUGAGAGGUGAACUGUAAAGACAAGGAGUUUUAAAAACUCAAUUUAAGAAAACAGAAGACCUUGAUACUCAUUUCCAUCUCAUCCUGGCUUCUAGAAUUGUCCUCCAAGGAGAAAUCUCUCUGCCCAAGUGACUUGAGUUUGCACUGGAGUUGACUGAAGGGUAGAGAUAGACACUCUUCUGCCUCAAGCCACAGCAUGAUCCUGUGUCGGAACUCAGAAUUAAUCCUGGAGGGCAGCCUCGGUGCUUGCUAUUUAGUUCGGCAUCAUCAGACUCCAGGUGCAUUUAAUACUCCAGGGCAGGCCCAUUGGUUAUUUUUAAUGUGUGCUGUUGAUUUGCUUUAGCACUUCCAUCAGACACAAAAGAGUCUGGGUUUGGGACCCCUCACCGCUGCUGACACCAGCAGGAACUGGGCAGGGCUGUCAGGCAUUCCAAGUGCUGCCCUUCAGAAAGAGAUGCUCCGCUUGUGUUUCUGCUGAUAGAUGUUGGUAGCUGUCCAGAGAAAAGUUGAAGUUCCCAUUGCUUUUUCCAGAAAGAGUAAUGGGGAGCCCUUGUGUUCCAGCCAACAAUCCCUCUUCUCAAUAAAACAAAUAGGUUCUAUUUUGGCAGCUUUCUGAGCUGUUGCUGAGAACAUAAAGGCGGCUCUGUCUUUCUCUGUGGUAAAUAUACAGCAAGCAUUUAACUCAAUACUAGAUAAAUCACUGAGAUGGCUCAUAAGAAGAGGUGUCUGGUGCUGGUUUUUUAACUUUUUAAAGCAUUGAUUAAUAUAUUUUCCUCCUUUAAGUUCUUUUUUUCAGGUCUAUUGAGAUGUGAUUGACAAAAUUGUGAUAUAUUUGAAGUGUACAAGGUGGUGAUUUGAUACACUUCUCCUUUCUUGACUAAU
Molecule: long non-coding RNA, 1442 nt
Organism: Manis pentadactyla (Chinese pangolin)
Lineage: Eukaryota; Metazoa; Chordata; Mammalia; Pholidota; Manidae
Exons: 3
Source: RefSeq, a predicted model, not a curated record